AACGCAAAUUGCACUCUCUGGCAACCCGGGGAGUAUGCCUGUUUGAGGGUCAGUGUUAAUAAAAAUCGGUGCGUCGCAAUUUUUUUGUGAUGUUUCCGGAGUUUGAGUUAUCUUAACUCUUCUGGGUUUUCAAGAGGCUUAAAAUUGACCUUUUUUUGUGCAUUUUAGACGUACAUAAAAUUUUUUUUUAUUCGUCUAUCUUAAUGCCAAAAUCUAUUAGAUGCGACCAUAUCAUGUGGUUUCGUGUCUAUAAAUUUUUCAUGAUUUGACCUCAAAUCAGGUAGGAACACCCGCUGAACUUAA
RNAcentral lists this unclassified non-coding RNA (303 nucleotides) under uncultured Glomeraceae. RNAcentral's name for it is "sequence contains ITS2". The record is from RNAcentral. Lineage: Eukaryota; Fungi; Glomeromycota; Glomeromycetes; Glomerales; Glomeraceae.